AUGAAUAUCGCCCUCCUAUCCCGCUGGCUCUGGCGCAUCUCGUGCGGCCAGGGUGGUCUCUGGCUCGAUAUCAUCCGGAACAAGUACCUACGUGGACAACCCCUUGCCUUUUGUCAGAGAACUGGUGGCUCGCAGUUCUGGCAGUCGGUCGUCCAGCUUCUCCCGGUCCUUCGCAUCGGGACUUCCAUCUCGGUGGGGUUCGCCAUGAAGACUUUGUUUUGGUUUGACCGAUGGGCCGGAGACUCCCCCUUCGCUGCGCGCUUCCCCGUCCUCUUCUCCAUAGUGGUAGACCCCUUGAUCUUAGUUGAGAGGGCCCUUAUUGACUUAGGGCGCCUUGCUUUCCGGAGGCCCUUUGGUCCCCCGGAGUCCGCUGCUUGGCGUGAGUUACUAGAUUGCGUGGCUCUCCACGAGCCUAUGGGAGACGGUGGGCCGGACCAGAUGAGAUGGCGGCUCGAGCCUUCGGGCCAAUUCUCCACUAAGUCUCUCUACCAUGCCAUCGCCCCCUCCUCCGCCUCCCCCCUUGCGACGGUGUGGUCCAUCCGCUUGCCUCUGAAAAUCCGGAUCUUCAUGUGGCAGUGGAUUCGCGGGCGGCUUCCGUCGGGUGUUGAGGUCCGCAAGCGUAAUGUCCCGGGCUCUGGCCUUUGCCCGCUUUGCGCCACCCCCGAAGACUCGAACCACAUCUUCUUUUCCUGUGUGUCCGCGCAAUUCGUGUGGAGUUGCUUCCGCGAGGUGGUGGGUGGAAAUUGGUGCCACACCAACUUCCCCGACCUGUAUACGGAGCUCCAGUCCUCCCCCUUGGCAUCUCGCCACAUUAGGUGGCUUGAGAUUGGGGUCAUCGCUUGGACCCUCUGGACAAUCCGUAAUAAGCUUGUGAUCCAGCGCGCUCCUCUUCGACGGGCUACUGGCACUAUCUUCAAACUGUCUGGUUUCUUGCAGCUUUGGCGGCCGCUUACCGCCCUGAUGACCGUGACGCCAUAUCUGCUUUCAUCGCCGACCUUCGCUCGAUGGCCGUCUGUCUGUCCAUUGCUUAAUCAAUUUCCACCCACCACCUCGCGGGAUGGAUAUGUAGCAGUGCGGGAUGAUCUGGAUCCAUUGCUUAAUUAUGUUGUCAACAUUAGCAGGGAUGACCCCGUCAUCGUGGAGCAGGUAUAUAUCUAUACUUAUCUACAAUAA
This 1173-nucleotide ribosomal RNA is filed under the name Triticum aestivum (bread wheat). RNAcentral describes it as "partial small subunit ribosomal RNA". The record is from RNAcentral. Lineage: Eukaryota; Viridiplantae; Streptophyta; Magnoliopsida; Poales; Poaceae.